CUGCACACAAAAUGGUUCUUGCAUCAUACAUCCAUUAAUCAGUGACUGAACCAAGUCUGAACAAACUGACAAUUCUGCCUCCAUUCCUACAGGAACUGGAUCAACCUCCUUGGCUGUUAACAACACUUGACUGGUGUAACGACUCACCGUCCGGGCAGACGAACUGGCUUGGCAGUCGGGUCGCGCGGCGUCGGAGCGACGAGGCCCAAGAUGGCGGCGGGCCUUCAUCUUCCCCGAGCGACGGGGAGAACCCGCACGCGGGAAAGACUUGAUGACAUAGCAUAUACGUCAUUGCCGGUUGCAUUGGGCGGGAACAGUCUCCCUUAAAAGGCCCACGCAAGGCGGGAAAAUAAACCAGUUCUUGUUUGGCAA
Molecule: long non-coding RNA, 372 nt
Organism: Pristis pectinata (smalltooth sawfish)
Lineage: Eukaryota; Metazoa; Chordata; Chondrichthyes; Rhinopristiformes; Pristidae
Exons: 2
Source: RefSeq, a predicted model, not a curated record